Photobacterium profundum SS9 is the source of this 100-nucleotide non-coding RNA. Lineage: Bacteria; Pseudomonadati; Pseudomonadota; Gammaproteobacteria; Vibrionales; Vibrionaceae. The record is from Rfam.
UAAUAAUGGGUAAAGUUACUUCGUAUAACCCCACUUAUAGGGUGUGGGGGUCUCUACCAGAAUCCGUAAAAUUCUGAUUACGAAGAGUUGAGUGAUUGAU